RNAcentral lists this ribosomal RNA (320 nucleotides) under uncultured bacterium. RNAcentral's name for it is "bacterial SSU rRNA". It matches the Rfam family "Bacterial small subunit ribosomal RNA", at positions 32 to 324 of the family's 1533-position model. The record is from RNAcentral.
AAUCAACGCUGGCGGCGUGCCUCAGACAUGCAAGUCGAACGGAGAAAGUCCCCUUCGGGGGAUAAGUAAAGUGGCGCACGGGGUGAGUAACACGUAGGUAAUCUACCUUCGGGUGGGGAAUAACCCAGGGGAAACUUGGGCUAACACCGCAUAAUGCAGCGGCACCACAUGGUGGACAGUUGUUAAAGCGGGGGAGUUUCGUAACCUCGCGCCGUCGAAGAGGAGCCUGCGGCGGAUUAGCUAGNGGUGAGGUAACGGCUCACCAAGGUCACGAUCCGUAGCCGGCCUGAGAGGGCGGUCGGCCACACUGGACACUGACA